UACAGAGGGUGCAAGCGUUGUUCGGAAUUAUUGGGCGUAAAGGGCGCGUAGGCGGUGCGGUAAGUCUGUAGUGAAAUCUCUGGGCUCAACUCAGAGUCUGCUGCAGAAACUGCCGUGCUUGAGUGUGGGAGAGGUGAGUGGAAUUCCCGGUGUAGCGGUGAAAUGCGUAGAUAUCGGGAAGAACACCCGUGGCGAAGGCGGCACUCUGGGACGGUACUGACGCUGAGACGCGAAAGCGUGGGGAGCGAACAGG
RNAcentral lists this ribosomal RNA (253 nucleotides) under uncultured bacterium. RNAcentral describes it as "partial 16S ribosomal RNA". It matches the Rfam family "Bacterial small subunit ribosomal RNA", at positions 524 to 776 of the family's 1533-position model. The record is from RNAcentral.